RNAcentral lists this ribosomal RNA (437 nucleotides) under uncultured Clostridium sp. Its description in RNAcentral is "partial 16S ribosomal RNA". It matches the Rfam family "Bacterial small subunit ribosomal RNA", at positions 341 to 792 of the family's 1533-position model. Lineage: Bacteria; Bacillati; Bacillota; Clostridia; Eubacteriales; Clostridiaceae. The record is from RNAcentral.
ACGGAAGGCAGCAGUGGGGGAUAUUGCGCAAUGGGGGAAACCCUGACGCAGCAACGCCGCGUGCAGGAAGACGGCCUUCGGGUUGUAAACUGUUGUCGCAAGGGAAGAAACAAAUGACGGUACCUUGUGAGAAAGCCACGGCUAACUACGUGCCAGCAGCCGCGGUAAUACGUAGGUGGCGAGCGUUGUCCGGAUUUACUGGGUGUAAAGGGCGCGUAGGCGGGCUUUCAAGUCAGAUGUGAAAUACCGGAGCUUAACUCCGGAGCUGCAUUUGAAACUGUAAGUCUUGAGUAGCGAAGAGGAAAGCGGAAUUCCUAGUGUAGCGGUGAAAUGCGUAGAUAUUAGGAGGAACACCAGUGGCGAAGGCGGCUUUCUGGACGACAACUGACGCUGAGGCGCGAAAGUGUGGGGAGCAAACAGGAUUAGAUACCCUGGUA